GAUGAUAGAAAGACAAGACAGAAGGGGAGGGAGUGAAAUCAAUUAUGCAUCCUUUUUUUCCUGGAACCAAUCUGGUUGCCCUCUCGCUAGGUGCAAAUUCAGUCCCACUGCAUUAACCAAUCUGGAUUAAGCUCCUGUCCUCCCUUUUUUCCUUACUUAAUGGGAUUGUAGCAAGGAUAAAGGCAGUUUAUGAGACAGUGUGUUGUGGGGGUCAGAGAGAGACAAGAUGUGUAAACCAGUAUGGUCUGAAAUACGGCUAUGUUCUUCUGACACUGAUGGAGAGAGCUUGAAAAGCUUGUUGCUGCUCUGGGCACGCUUCCCAAGCAGGCAAUACCUCAGCCUCCUGCUGAGUCACAGCAGGUGAGGAGAGUACACAGGUGCUGACCCACCCUGUAAGCACGCAUUCUGGAUUUAAGGAAGGAGGGGAGGGAAGGGGCCCUGAAUACAGGGAAUAACUUAUACUCCAUCUCUGAAGCCAGUCUCUCUAGGCUGGAGGUACAUGGCCCAAGGGGGAAGUAGCUUGAGGUACCACUGGCUUUGUUGUCCUACAGCCACUGGGGUCUGCUGCAGGUCCUUGGAGUCCUAAGCACUCAGCCCCUUGGAUGUGCUCAGGUAGCUGAAUCCUGCACCCCUUGGGCUCAUGACUGAAUGAAAAAAAAAAUGGAGGAAGCUGAAGAAGCCAAUCUCUUUGCUUUCAAAACCUCAGCUUAGCUACAAUUCAGGCUAAAACAAAUUGGGAGCCUUUGAAUGCCAAAAUGACAGCUCAGUUAUUCUCCUUUUCUUUCAACUAGAUUAGCUGGGACACGUUCUAUCUGCAGUGACAAAUGUUUUCUAGUGCCCCAGACUUGCUCUUUUUCUUCUUUUUAACUGAAUGUAAUAUUUCUUUGGCGUAGCGUUAUCUGAGUGUAGCUCAGCAAUGCAGCUCUUCAUUUCACUUGCUUCAGCUAGCCAUUGGCAGAAAGACAGUUAAAGACCUCUGUGAAACUA
Long non-coding RNA from Numida meleagris (helmeted guineafowl), 987 nucleotides. RefSeq lists it as uncharacterized. The transcript has 2 exons. The record is from RefSeq and is a predicted model, not a curated record. Lineage: Eukaryota; Metazoa; Chordata; Aves; Galliformes; Numididae.